CAAAUACUCCCUUCGUCCGGAAAUACUUGUCAUCAAAAUGGAUAAAAGGAAAUGUAUCUAGACGUAUUUUAGUUUUAGAUACAUCUCUUUUUAUCCAUUUUGAUGACAAGUAUUUUCGGACGGAGGGAGUAGAAA
Molecule: non-coding RNA, 135 nt
Organism: Triticum urartu
Lineage: Eukaryota; Viridiplantae; Streptophyta; Magnoliopsida; Poales; Poaceae
Source: Rfam